Molecule: long non-coding RNA, 486 nt
Filed under: Anser brachyrhynchus (Pink-footed goose)
Lineage: Eukaryota; Metazoa; Chordata; Aves; Anseriformes; Anatidae
Description: lncRNA (ENSABRG00000011900.1)
Source: RNAcentral
GAAAAACAAAGAAAGAAAUGAUUCCAGGACUUGAAACAAAAGCAAUUCUCAGCGAGCUGUUUUGUUCCAAAUUCCUGCUCUGCACCUUAGUUUCAACUUCUGUCACGCAACCUACUGAAAAGGAUUCAGUCUGGUGCUGCCAUUGCACUGUUCCAGAAGCAACGGUUCCUUCUCAUACCUUCCUGUCCCUUGAAUAGCCUACUACAGAAACACAGUGUGGACCCCUGUUUAUUAGCAGACCUGAACAGUGAAAAAGGAACCUCUGGAUUCCAGUGUAGAAGCAGAAGUAAGAUGAUUUUUCUGAAAGAGGAGGCCAUGCAGAGCCCAUCCCAGCCCCUGUGAGAGCAAUUUAAUCGAGCUGCAGGGCAAUAACGAGAAGAAGCCCUUCUUUAACUAACGCUUACAGAUUCCUAUGGGAAACUUGCAGACAAAUUCUUGCAAUCCUGUUUUUUUCUAUUUCCAUUUUCAUUGUCAAGACAAGUUCUG